This 65-nucleotide transfer RNA is filed under the name Coleoptera sp. 32 KM-2017. Its description in RNAcentral is "tRNA-Met". Lineage: Eukaryota; Metazoa; Arthropoda; Insecta; Coleoptera. The record is from RNAcentral.
AUUUAAUUAAUUUAAAAUUUUAUUCUGGUUUCAUAUUUCAGUGAAGUAUUGGAUUACAUGCAAGU